ACUACCCUUUGUAGCCUACCUCUUACACAAUCCUAAUCGCUCUUAGCCUUAUUUGAGUAGUCCGCUGUUACGCACGCCCUAUAAAUAAGAACUCGCAACAUUACGCUGUAGUUAGACAACCCAAGAUGGUUUCCACAGACUGCAACAGUUGAACGAUCAAAUUCGCGAACGAGAGCAACAACUCGCCAUCUUACAUACGCGCAACAACGCCUUAAUGAGCUGGACUAUUGUAUCCCGACCUAGCCAAGAUGCCGCCGUAGAACCACCACCUGAUCGAACCACAAGUAGCAAGGAUAACGAUGACGAAACACCGCCGAGAUUGGAAAUUAAGGAAUACUACAAAGGGUAGUGAUAAGAGUGGUGUGAAACAGUGUUGCCACACCACACGCUAUGUCCAUCAUGGUUCUAGCACAUUCUGCGCCCUUCUACUGCUGUCUUGCCACUUCUAAAUAUAGAUACUUCUAUUACUCCUAUUACAAGUGUGAAAAGUGAAUAGCAGAAGAUAGUAGAAAGGGAUAAUAAUAGUAAUGAUAUUAGUAGAUAGCGUAGUUGGUAGCUAAUCGCUAAGAGAAGAAAGAGAAGAGAAGAUAAGAGGAAACAAAAAUGUGCGAAGUACAUGCGUAUAUAUAUAUAUAUGUAUAUGUAUAUGUAUAUGCAUAGAAAUAGUGGUAGCGAGAAAAGGAAAGAAUAAACGGAGAUAAAUGAAGAUAUAUAAGG
Molecule: small RNA, 717 nt
Filed under: Histoplasma capsulatum var. duboisii H88
Lineage: Eukaryota; Fungi; Ascomycota; Eurotiomycetes; Onygenales; Ajellomycetaceae
Description: Histoplasma capsulatum H88 hypothetical RNA
Source: RNAcentral